This 542-nucleotide ribosomal RNA is filed under the name uncultured eukaryote. RNAcentral's name for it is "bacterial SSU rRNA". It matches the Rfam family "Eukaryotic small subunit ribosomal RNA", at positions 4 to 565 of the family's 1831-position model. The record is from RNAcentral.
CUGGUUGAUGGCCGGUAGUCAUAUGCUUGUCUCAAAGAUUAAGCCAUGCAUGUCUAAGUAUAAGCCUAGGCUAAAGCGAAACUGCGUACGGCUCAUUAAAUCAGAAAUACUACAUUCGGCUGGUCAAACAAUGGAUACCUGUGGUAAUUCUAGAGCUAAUACAUGCACCGGGUCGGAAACGGCCUAAUUCUCGGGGUUAGCACCAACGGGGCAACCCACCCAGGUGAUUCACUGAGACUGUUUACCGCACAACCUUGCGUUGGCGGACGGACGAGUUAGUUUCUGCUCUAUCAACUAUCGAUGGUAGUGUAUCGUACUACCACGGUUUUAACGGGUCACGGGGAACUAGGGUUCGGUUCCGGAGAGGGAGCCUGAGAGACGGCUACCACUUCCAAGGAAGGCAGCAGGCGCGCAAAUUACCCAAUGAUAAUUCAUCGAGGUAGUGACAAUAAAUACCAGCCCUGGCUACUUACUGUAGCCAGGAAUUGGAAUGAACACGGUUCAAAUCUCCUAGUAAGGAUCAAUUGGAGGGCAAGUCUGGU